GAAACUCAAUUACGCAAUAAAG
RNAcentral lists this small nuclear RNA (22 nucleotides) under Arabidopsis thaliana (thale cress). RNAcentral's name for it is "snRNA_02809". Lineage: Eukaryota; Viridiplantae; Streptophyta; Magnoliopsida; Brassicales; Brassicaceae. The record is from RNAcentral.